CGCACAUUGCGCCCUUUGGCAUUCCGAGGGGCAUGCCCGUUCGAGCGUCAUUAAAUCCACUCAAGCCUGGCUUGGUCUUGGGCGCCGGGAGACCUCCCGCGCCCCCAUUUCGCCGGCUGGCCGUCGUUUGACUUAGCGUUGUGACACAUGUCGCUGACGAAGAAGACGGACCGCGCCGUGAGAACUCUCUUGGACGUCUACCGACGUCCAGUAAAGGUUGACCUCGGAUCGGGUAGGAAUACCCGCUGAACUUAA
RNAcentral lists this unclassified non-coding RNA (255 nucleotides) under Capnodiales sp. RNAcentral's name for it is "partial contains 5.8S ribosomal RNA, internal transcribed spacer 2, and large subunit ribosomal RNA". The record is from RNAcentral. Lineage: Eukaryota; Fungi; Ascomycota; Dothideomycetes; Capnodiales.